AUGCUCACUUUGGCAGCACAUAUACUGUGAUUGGAAUGAUACAGAGAAGAUUAGCAUGGAUGACAUGCAAAUUCAUGGAGUGUUCCAUAUUUAA
Molecule: small nuclear RNA, 94 nt
Filed under: Tupaia belangeri chinensis (Chinese tree shrew)
Lineage: Eukaryota; Metazoa; Chordata; Mammalia; Scandentia; Tupaiidae
Source: RNAcentral